AGUGAACGCUGGCGGUAGGCCUAACACAUGCAAGUCGAACGGCAGCACAGUAAGAGCUUGCUCUUACGGGUGGCGAGUGGCGGACGGGUGAGGAAUACAUCGGAAUCUACUUUUUCGUGGGGGAUAACGUAGGGAAACUUACGCUAAUACCGCAUACGACCUACGGGUGAAAGCAGGGGAUCUUCGGACCUUGCGCGAUUGAAUGAGCCGAUGUCGGAUUAGCUAGUUGGCGGGGUAAAGGCCCACCAAGGCGACGAUCCGCAGCUGGUCUGAGAGGAUGAUCAGCCACACUGGAACUGAGACACGGUCCAGACUCCUACGGGAGGCAGCAGUGGGGAAUAUUGGACAAUGGGCGCAAGCCUGAUCCAGCCAUACCGCGUGGGUGAAGAAGGCCUUCGGGUUGUAAAGCCCUUUUGUUGGGAAAGAAAAGCAGCAGGUUAAUACCCCGCUGUUCUGACGGUACCCAAAGAGUAAGCACCGGCUAACUUCGUG
RNAcentral lists this ribosomal RNA (492 nucleotides) under uncultured bacterium. RNAcentral describes it as "partial 16S ribosomal RNA". It matches the Rfam family "Bacterial small subunit ribosomal RNA", at positions 29 to 507 of the family's 1533-position model. The record is from RNAcentral.